UUUAUCGGAGAGUUUGAUCCUGGCUCAGGACGAACGCUGGCGGCGUGCCUAAUACAUGCAAGUCGAGCGGACAGAUGGGAGCUUGCUCCCUGAUCUUAGCGGCGGACGGGUGAGUAACACGUGGGUAACCUGCCUGUAAGACUGGGAUAACUCCGGGAAACCGGGGCUAAUACCGGAUGGUUGUUUGAACCGCAUGGUUCAAACAUAAAAGGUGGCUUCGGCUACCACUUACAGAUGGACCCGCGGCGCAUUAGCUAGUUGGUGAGGUAACGGCUCACCAAGGCGACGAUGCGUAGCCGACCUGAGAGGGUGAUCGGCCACACUGGGACUGAGACACGGCCCAGACUCCUACGGGAGGCAGCAGUAGGGAAUCUUCCGCAAUGGACGAAAGUCUGACGGAGCAACGCCGCGUGAGUGAUGAAGGUUUUCGGAUCGUAAAGCUCUGUUGUUAGGGAAGAACAA
Molecule: ribosomal RNA, 462 nt
Filed under: Bacillus subtilis subsp. subtilis
Lineage: Bacteria; Bacillati; Bacillota; Bacilli; Caryophanales; Bacillaceae
Description: bacterial SSU rRNA
Rfam family: Bacterial small subunit ribosomal RNA
Source: RNAcentral